Long non-coding RNA from Drosophila simulans, 597 nucleotides. RefSeq lists it as uncharacterized. NCBI's taxonomy places the organism in Eukaryota, Metazoa, Arthropoda, Insecta, Diptera, Drosophilidae. The transcript has 2 exons. The record is from RefSeq and is a predicted model, not a curated record.
CAACACCAUAUAAUAUUUAAGUUCAUUAUGUUUUCAGAUUCUUUACUUUUUAAGAAGUUUUCGUUUGUAGUGCUAGCUUUUAAAAUGUAAAUCAAAUUCACUGCAUUAUGGCAUCAUUUACAAAUUGAAUAAACUAUAAAUUCCUCCGCAUGAAAUAAGCAAAUAUGGUGAAAUGCAAGUUUGGUUCGCUUAUCUUGUCAACGAUGCAUGGACAUGCUGAAAAGAGUUUAAAACCAAUUAGAAGCCCAUUUCUGCUGACAGUUUUCGCACAUUUUCAUGGCUGUCAAUGCUUUACCAAAUCCCUUAAUCGAUGUCCAGCUUAUCCCAUUAGGCAAUCACAAUUUAUAUGUCUGCGGCAAAAUCAUUCCCAUACCUCGAUGUGUCAUCAUUAAUUACUUGAACGGAAGUUACAUUCCAUCCGUUCGUUUCGUUUCAGUCGCUCAUUCAUUCAUUCAUUCGCUCGUUUAUUCAUUCCAUUCGCUCGGGCCUUUUAAUUUUCUAUGAUUUAUGCGUAAUUUGCUUUCGAUCCGAACAGAAUCGAACCGAACAGAACAGAACCUGCUGUCCAUUUAAGUUCCCCAACAGGCCACGGGUAAA